RNA transcript from Medicago truncatula (barrel medic), 2690 nucleotides. It is a transcript of the gene named nucleolin 1, with no coding region annotated. The transcript is spliced from 20 exons. Lineage: Eukaryota; Viridiplantae; Streptophyta; Magnoliopsida; Fabales; Fabaceae. The record is from RefSeq and is a predicted model, not a curated record.
UUAAAUCUUUGGAUGAAUCUCCAAUUUCACAACUUUGCUAAAUCUUUUGUUCAUAAUCAGAAAUCCCUAACCCUAACGGCUAAAUCAGCCCCAAAUUCUCUACCUUCUCUCGCAAUUUCACUCAAAUUCAAGCCACAAUGAGCAAUGAAUCUGAAUCCGAAGUUUGUGAUAAUCCAAUUCCACCUCCAAACAUUGGUAAGAGGCAGUGUGAGGAUGAAGAUGAGAAGGAAGUGAUUACAAAGAAGCAGAAGAUAGAGGAGGUUGUUGAAAUGAAAGAGAUUAAGGAAGAAACUGAUUCAGAUUAUUUGAAAAUUGGUGAGGAUGAAGAUCGGAAGGAAGUGAUUACGAUGAAAGAGAUUAAGGAGGAAAUUAUUUCAGAUGAUUCUGAACAUGAUAAGAAACUUGAAGCUAAAAACGAUUCUGCUACUGGUUGUGGUCCUUCAGAAUCAUUGGAUGAUGUUAUCUCAGAUUCUGAUUCUCACAGAAGCUCUGGUGAGGAUAAUCCCGAUGAUUCGGAGAGUCCAGAGUAUAUUGGGGAAGAAGUAGAGGAAAAAGUCUCCGAAGCGCAUCAGGAAAGGCACGAAACCCCAGUCACUAUAAACGAAAAAGAUGCUCCAUCGAAGACAAUAUGUGUUAGAAACUUGUCAUAUAGUGUGGAACGGACUGAUAUGGAAGACAUUUUCAAAGAUUGUGGUGAAGUUGUUGAUGUUCGUUUCAACACAGAUCGCGAAGGGAGGUUUAGAGGCUUUGGAUAUGUUGAGUUUGGAACAGCAGAAGCAGCAAAAAAAGCCCUUAAAUUGGAUAGUACAGAAUUAUUGAACCGUCGCAUGAGAGUUGAUAUAGCUAUAGAAAAGAGCGGCUAUCCCCCCUGUAGAAGCAACUUGAGCAGCUCAGUCCAUACGGGUGGAAAUCUUCAGUCUCACCCUCACACUGUAAAGGGUGUUGUUGAUGCAUCUAUUGUAGAAAACAAGCCUAAAAGCCCAGCUACACCAAAUGAAACAAAUGUUGCAUCAAAGACCAUAUAUGUCAGAAAUUUGUCAUACACUGUGGAACGAUCUGAUAUGGAAAAUAUUUUCAAAGAUUGUGGAGAAAUUGUUGAUAUUCGUCUCCAUACAGAUCGCGAAGGGAAAUUUAAAGGCCAUGCACAUGUUCAGUUUGCAACAGCAGAUGCAGCACAAAAGGCUCUUGUGUUCAAUAAGAAAGUAUUUUACAAUCGUCUUAUGUUCGUUGGUAUCGCUUUUGAAAGGGGUAUAUAUUCCCCAAAUAGAAGCAAUUCGACCUGGAGCAGCUCAUUCCAUAAGGAUGAAAGAUUUCAGUCUCAAACUAUACCUGUGAAGUGUUUUGAUACAUCCCUUGCCGAAGACAAGUUGGCUUGUGCAAAGGAUGUUAAGGAUAUACAGAUGUCUGAUGCUGAUGCUGAUGCUGCCUCUGCUGAGAAUAAACUUCCUGAAACCCCAGCUACCCAAAAAGAGAAAAAUGAUGCAUCAAAAACAGUAUGCGUUAGAAAUUUGUCAUUCGAUGUGCAACGGGCUGAAAUUGAAAGUAUUUUCAAAGAUUGUGGAGAAGUUGUUGAUGUCCGUGUGCAUGUGGAUGUUGAGUUUGCAACCACAGAAGCAGCAGAAAAGGCUCUUCAGUUGGAUCACACAAAAUUUGCGAACCGUCCCAUCAAAGUUGGUAUAGCUCCAGGAGAGGGUGAAUGUUUCCCCAAUAGAAGGAAUCGAGUAGGUUAAGCCGCAUGUGUGUUCGUGUUUAUUUCCUAGUGGUUUAUGUUGAUGACAUUGUGGUUACAAUUGACGAUUAUGAGGGUAUCAAGGCAUUGAAACAAAACUUGUUUAAGACGUUCAAACUGAGGACAUGGAUCCUCUACGUUGGGGUUGAGACAGCUCAAUCGAAGUCGGGUCUUGUUAUUUCUUAGAGGAAGUAUACUCUUAUUAUUCAAGAGGACACGUGUCAUAUAGAUUGUAAACCACUUGGCACUCUCAUGAAUCUUAAUGUAAAGCUCAUUCUUAAUCAAAGAAGCCUAGAUACUGAUGAUUAAUGGGAAAAUUAAAUUGUUCAAAUUCUGAAGUAUAUAAGAGGUCACCUUGGAAAGGGGCUUGUUUUCAUUGAUAGGGGGCAACACUCGUUGGGUAUACAAAUGUCAAUUGGGCAGAAGAUGCAAGUGAUAGGGGGUAUACUUCUUGUUACUGCAUAAUCAUGGGCGGAGGUCUGAUUUCAUGGAAGAGCAAAAAGCAAACUGAUAUUUCCUGGUCGAGUUCAAAAGUCGAGUGAUGAGUACCCAAAUGAAUGGUUUGUCAUUCAAUGUGCUUAUCAUUGGCAACUUUAAAUAAGUAAUUUGAAAAUGAUGAAGUUGAUGGAACUGAAAUGAUAAUGAAAUUUAAAGAGGUAGAAUUAUAAGUACAAGAUUGAUAGAAUCGUAACAAGAAAUAACAAAAAAUGGAGAAGAUAGGAUUGUGAAUGGCGCAACACUCAAGUUUCCAGGGAGAAGAUGAAUGGUAGAUCCUGGGGAACGAUCACCUCAAGAAAACCUGGUUUCUUGAUAAGAUCAAAAUGGAUGGUCCGAUCCAGAACCAAAGAGUCAAAACUCUUACACUUACACAAGCUUGAGCAUCUCAUUCCAGAAGGGUGAAAGCUUUCAGCCUCUAACUGUAUUUGUGAUUGGAUUUGAUACAUCUGUUGCAGAAGAAAAG